UCUUGGCUCCACACAGUUCCCUUCCUGUGGCUGGCACCUUCCUCCUCCAGUGAGAUCCAAAUCUGGUGCAGGAGGUGUAUUAUGCCUACUUUGAAGGCCAGUUUGUGAGAAGUGAUCUUUGCCAGCUGUGUGGAAUCUGAUCAGGAACACCAAUACCCUGAAUGAACAUGGAAGACAACUGUACUGAUGGCUUUCUUCUACCUGGGGUUGCAAGGACUUCACAGAUCCUUGCUGAUCUUUGCUGGCUGAACAGGCUGGCUCUCAGUGGAAGGGAAGCUGUGACAAAUGGCCCUUGCUUUGUCCCAGCAGGACAUCUUCUCUACCACUGAACAGAGAUUACACCGUGGAAUGAAUUCUGGUUCAAACUGCAAUUGUCUCUGGCAAAUCAGAUUUUUGUGAUGCCUGCUGGGUUACACGUACCUUGGAAUGUCUGAG
Long non-coding RNA from Cyanistes caeruleus (blue tit), 435 nucleotides. RefSeq lists it as uncharacterized. The record is from RefSeq and is a predicted model, not a curated record. Lineage: Eukaryota; Metazoa; Chordata; Aves; Passeriformes; Paridae.